AUUGAACGCUGGCGGAAUGCUUUACACAUGCAAGUCGAACGGUAGAGGGGGCAACCCCUCGAGAGUGGCGAACGGGUGAGUAAUAUAUCGGAACGUGCCCAGUCGUGGGGGAUAACGUAGCGAAAGUUACGCUAAUACCGCAUACGAUCUAAGGAUGAAAGCGGGGGAUCGCAAGACCUCGCGCGAUUGGAGCGGCCGAUAGCAGAUUAGGUAGUUGGUGGGGUAAAGGCUCACCAAGCCAACGACCUGUAGCUGGUCUGAGAGGACGACAAGCCACACUGGAACUGAGACACGGGCCAGACUCCUACGGGAGGCAGCAGUGGGGAAUUUUGGACAAUGGACGCAAGUCUGAUCCAGCCAUUCCGCGUGCAGGAUGAAGGCCCUCGGGUUGUAAACUGCUUUUGUACGGAACGAAAAGGUCUCUCUUAAUACGGGGGGCUCAUGACGGUACCGUAAGAAUAAGCACCGGCUAACUACGUGCCAGCAGCCGCCGUAA
Molecule: ribosomal RNA, 496 nt
Filed under: uncultured bacterium
Lineage: Bacteria
Description: partial 16S ribosomal RNA
Rfam family: Bacterial small subunit ribosomal RNA
Source: RNAcentral